CAGAACUCGAGAUGUCCUAAAAUGCUAGCAAUCUAUUAUUUUGGUAUUAAAAAAAACAUAAAACUCAUAGAUAUACAGUUUCGUCUAUGAUUUCAUUUGUAGCCAAAGGAAAACAGAAAUGCAUCAGGACAUCGACAUCGAAAAUAUCGUCUGACGAAAUGUGCCAUGUGUUUUAUGCUUUACAUAGGUAGUAGCACAAAAUAGGUGUAAGAUAUUAAACAAUAAAAAAACAAAAAUAACUGUGCAACUAUUUUAUCCUUUUUCACACAAUACAAAAUAUCCAGUUUUGAGACAUUGUUGUUAGUAGAAAAAGAAAUACGUAUAAAAAUUAACCUCAGAUUCCAUAAUUUAGUUUGCUUUUUUUUUUGGCACAACCAUUUAAAACCAACUGAAUACAAAAAUAAAUAAUCAGUGAUAGAAAAAAAUGUAAAAUUUUAUGAUCCAUAUGUACAUCAAAACGAGACAUUUCGACAUUUUUUUCCGCCUUCUUUCGUUCGUUAUCUUAUAGCUAAUUAAAUCUAAUACAAAGGAACAGGAAAACGCGCCGGCUUAACAGGCGGUGAUUGCGGCGGAGUUUGGACAUCUACGGUGAGUUUUUCAGGUCGAGGUGGUGCACACGGACACGGCAAUGCUAUGAAUUUGGGUGUAUUAUCUCCUGGCAUUAACACCGGUACGCUCAGAUUCUGCGGUUUCUUCAUUUCCUGUUCAUAGUAACCAUAUUUCUUAGUUACUCAUUCCAAAAAAAAAUCCCUUAUUUUUACUUCAAAUUUUAGUAACACAAAUGUUAUCUCCUAUUGUUUUCCAUAAAAUUUGCUUUCGUGACAUAUUUACAGAGAGAUAAAAAAACCUUAUUUAGCGACUCAAAUUCUUAAAAUGUUUAGAUUCAGCAUCUCAAAUUUCUAUAGAUAAAAUUAUAUUUUUUGAUAGUUGGAAACUAUUUAUUUAUAAAAAAUACAAAUACUUUCUAAAACAAAAUUACAUAUAUUAAAUUUAAUGUUUUGGAUACUCGUUUAAUAGCUGUAGUUUAUAUGAGAAAUAGGAAAUGAACAAAGUCAUAUUUUGGUAAAGUUAUAAAUUUGAGAAGAGAGUUACCGGAAAAGGGGGUUUGGGUUUGUAAGGAUUAGACUCGAUGUCGGCGGAGGGACGACCAUUGGCCAAAGAGCGGCGGAGAGAACGAUGUUUGUCCCAAUGGUAACAACAAGAGAAU
Molecule: long non-coding RNA, 1207 nt
Filed under: Arabidopsis thaliana (thale cress)
Lineage: Eukaryota; Viridiplantae; Streptophyta; Magnoliopsida; Brassicales; Brassicaceae
Description: long non-coding RNA (ATHA_LNC000527)
Source: RNAcentral